This 202-nucleotide ribosomal RNA is filed under the name uncultured bacterium. RNAcentral's name for it is "partial 16S ribosomal RNA". It matches the Rfam family "Bacterial small subunit ribosomal RNA", at positions 963 to 1167 of the family's 1533-position model. The record is from RNAcentral.
GAAGAACCUUACCUGGGCUUGACAUACACCGGAUCGGGCUAGAGAUAGUCUUUCCCUUUGUGGCUGGUGUACAGGUGGUGCAUGGUUGUCGUCAGCUCGUGUCGUGAGAUGUUGGGUUAAGUCCCGCAACGAGCGCAACCCUUGUCUUAUGUUGCCAGCAUUUGGUUGGGGACUCAUGAGAGACUGCCGGGGUCAACUCGGA